UACGUAGGGGGCAAGCGUUGUCCGGAAUCAUUGGGCGUAAAGAGCUCGUAGGUGGCUUGUCGCGUCUGCCGUGAAAGCCCAUGGCUUAACUGUGGGUCUGCGGUGGAUACGGGCAGGCUGGAGGCUGGUAGGGGCAAGCGGAAUUCCUGGUGUAGCGGUGAAAUGCGCAGAUAUCGGGAGGAACACCAAUGGCGAAGGCAGCUCGCUGGGACGUUACUGACGCUGAGACGCGAAAGCGUGGGGAGCAAACAGG
Molecule: ribosomal RNA, 253 nt
Filed under: uncultured bacterium
Lineage: Bacteria
Description: partial 16S ribosomal RNA
Rfam family: Bacterial small subunit ribosomal RNA
Source: RNAcentral